RNAcentral lists this ribosomal RNA (2902 nucleotides) under Escherichia coli. Its description in RNAcentral is "bacterial LSU rRNA". It matches the Rfam family "Bacterial large subunit ribosomal RNA". The record is from RNAcentral. Lineage: Bacteria; Pseudomonadati; Pseudomonadota; Gammaproteobacteria; Enterobacterales; Enterobacteriaceae.
UUAAGCGACUAAGCGUACACGGUGGAUGCCCUGGCAGUCAGAGGCGAUGAAGGACGUGCUAAUCUGCGAUAAGCGUCGGUAAGGUGAUAUGAACCGUUAUAACCGGCGAUUUCCGAAUGGGGAAACCCAGUGUGAUUCGUCACACUAUCAUUAACUGAAUCCAUAGGUUAAUGAGGCGAACCGGGGGAACUGAAACAUCUAAGUACCCCGAGGAAAAGAAAUCAACCGAGAUUCCCCCAGUAGCGGCGAGCGAACGGGGAGGAGCCCAGAGCCUGAAUCAGUGUGUGUGUUAGUGGAAGCGUCUGGAAAGGCGCGCGAUACAGGGUGACAGCCCCGUACACAAAAAUGCACAUGCUGUGAGCUCGAUGAGUAGGGCGGGACACGUGGUAUCCUGUCUGAAUAUGGGGGGACCAUCCUCCAAGGCUAAAUACUCCUGACUGACCGAUAGUGAACCAGUACCGUGAGGGAAAGGCGAAAAGAACCCCGGCGAGGGGAGUGAAAAAGAACCUGAAACCGUGUACGUACAAGCAGUGGGAGCACGCUUAGGCGUGUGACUGCGUACCUUUUGUAUAAUGGGUCAGCGACUUAUAUUCUGUAGCAAGGUUAACCGAAUAGGGGAGCCGAAGGGAAACCGAGUCUUAACUGGGCGUUAAGUUGCAGGGUAUAGACCCGAAACCCGGUGAUCUAGCCAUGGGCAGGUUGAAGGUUGGGUAACACUAACUGGAGGACCGAACCGACUAAUGUUGAAAAAUUAGCGGAUGACUUGUGGCUGGGGGUGAAAGGCCAAUCAAACCGGGAGAUAGCUGGUUCUCCCCGAAAGCUAUUUAGGUAGCGCCUCGUGAAUUCAUCUCCGGGGGUAGAGCACUGUUUCGGCAAGGGGGUCAUCCCGACUUACCAACCCGAUGCAAACUGCGAAUACCGGAGAAUGUUAUCACGGGAGACACACGGCGGGUGCUAACGUCCGUCGUGAAGAGGGAAACAACCCAGACCGCCAGCUAAGGUCCCAAAGUCAUGGUUAAGUGGGAAACGAUGUGGGAAGGCCCAGACAGCCAGGAUGUUGGCUUAGAAGCAGCCAUCAUUUAAAGAAAGCGUAAUAGCUCACUGGUCGAGUCGGCCUGCGCGGAAGAUGUAACGGGGCUAAACCAUGCACCGAAGCUGCGGCAGCGACGCUUAUGCGUUGUUGGGUAGGGGAGCGUUCUGUAAGCCUGUGAAGGUGUGCUGUGAGGCAUGCUGGAGGUAUCAGAAGUGCGAAUGCUGACAUAAGUAACGAUAAAGCGGGUGAAAAGCCCGCUCGCCGGAAGACCAAGGGUUCCUGUCCAACGUUAAUCGGGGCAGGGUGAGUCGACCCCUAAGGCGAGGCCGAAAGGCGUAGUCGAUGGGAAACAGGUUAAUAUUCCUGUACUUGGUGUUACUGCGAAGGGGGGACGGAGAAGGCUAUGUUGGCCGGGCGACGGUUGUCCCGGUUUAAGCGUGUAGGCUGGUUUUCCAGGCAAAUCCGGAAAAUCAAGGCUGAGGCGUGAUGACGAGGCACUACGGUGCUGAAGCAACAAAUGCCCUGCUUCCAGGAAAAGCCUCUAAGCAUCAGGUAACAUCAAAUCGUACCCCAAACCGACACAGGUGGUCAGGUAGAGAAUACCAAGGCGCUUGAGAGAACUCGGGUGAAGGAACUAGGCAAAAUGGUGCCGUAACUUCGGGAGAAGGCACGCUGAUAUGUAGGUGAAGCGACUUGCUCGUGGAGCUGAAAUCAGUCGAAGAUACCAGCUGGCUGCAACUGUUUAUUAAAAACACAGCACUGUGCAAACACGAAAGUGGACGUAUACGGUGUGACGCCUGCCCGGUGCCGGAAGGUUAAUUGAUGGGGUCAGCGCAAGCGAAGCUCUUGAUCGAAGCCCCGGUAAACGGCGGCCGUAACUAUAACGGUCCUAAGGUAGCGAAAUUCCUUGUCGGGUAAGUUCCGACCUGCACGAAUGGCGUAAUGAUGGCCAGGCUGUCUCCACCCGAGACUCAGUGAAAUUGAACUCGCUGUGAAGAUGCAGUGUACCCGCGGCAAGACGGAAAGACCCCGUGAACCUUUACUAUAGCUUGACACUGAACAUUGAGCCUUGAUGUGUAGGAUAGGUGGGAGGCUUUGAAGUGUGGACGCCAGUCUGCAUGGAGCCGACCUUGAAAUACCACCCUUUAAUGUUUGAUGUUCUAACGUUGACCCGUAAUCCGGGUUGCGGACAGUGUCUGGUGGGUAGUUUGACUGGGGCGGUCUCCUCCUAAAGAGUAACGGAGGAGCACGAAGGUUGGCUAAUCCUGGUCGGACAUCAGGAGGUUAGUGCAAUGGCAUAAGCCAGCUUGACUGCGAGCGUGACGGCGCGAGCAGGUGCGAAAGCAGGUCAUAGUGAUCCGGUGGUUCUGAAUGGAAGGGCCAUCGCUCAACGGAUAAAAGGUACUCCGGGGAUAACAGGCUGAUACCGCCCAAGAGUUCAUAUCGACGGCGGUGUUUGGCACCUCGAUGUCGGCUCAUCACAUCCUGGGGCUGAAGUAGGUCCCAAGGGUAUGGCUGUUCGCCAUUUAAAGUGGUACGCGAGCUGGGUUUAGAACGUCGUGAGACAGUUCGGUCCCUAUCUGCCGUGGGCGCUGGAGAACUGAGGGGGGCUGCUCCUAGUACGAGAGGACCGGAGUGGACGCAUCACUGGUGUUCGGGUUGUCAUGCCAAUGGCACUGCCCGGUAGCUAAAUGCGGAAGAGAUAAGUGCUGAAAGCAUCUAAGCACGAAACUUGCCCCGAGAUGAGUUCUCCCUGACUCCUUGAGAGUCCUGAAGGAACGUUGAAGACGACGACGUUGAUAGGCCGGGUGUGUAAGCGCAGCGAUGCGUUGAGCUAACCGGUACUAAUGAACCGUGAGGCUUAACCUU